RNAcentral lists this long non-coding RNA (742 nucleotides) under Elaeis guineensis (African oil palm). RNAcentral describes it as "long non-coding RNA (EGUI_LNC051620)". The record is from RNAcentral. Lineage: Eukaryota; Viridiplantae; Streptophyta; Magnoliopsida; Arecales; Arecaceae.
UGGUGUUGUGAUGAAGUUCCUAGAACUAUAAGAAAAUAGAUAAAAGAGGAUUUAUCGAAUAGUUCUUAAACAUGUUCGCAACCAAAUGAUAUAUCAUUAAAGGACAAUGACAUUUAUCAAGUGUAGAUUGUUGUGUGUAAUAUAGAUUGGUUGUUUUCGUAAUCAAGGAGUAUAGAGAUACUGGUAUGGCAUACAUAUGAGAUAUAGGAGUACAUCGUCCUAAACAAGUGACUCACUUGUGGAGCACUCUACUAUUAAGAGCUAAUGAAGAAAUAGACAUAAUUGCCCCUCAGACCUAAGAUCACUAUGGUGACUUGCAAGCAACUCACUAGGCUUUAGUGCCGAACUACUUAAAUUUUUAAUUCAAUGAUGGAAGAUUUCUGAGCACAGUCAAGUACUUGUGGUAGUCAAUGUGUAGAUCAAGAUAGGAUUGACCCCUCUGAAUUUUAGUAGUGGAUGCAUCAUUAUGUUUCAAGUGAGUAAGACCUCAGUCAGGACAAUCCAUGUGAUAGAUCACAAGAUUUAAAAAGGAUUAAAAUACAAUGUGGAUGACUAAUCUAAGGUUGACGUUAAACCCUAGGUCACCAUGAGCAUUCAAGGUCAAAGGGAUGAAUUAUAUGGUAACCAUAUUCUUUGAUUCUUGAGUGAUAUCUUACAAACAUUCAAUCUAUCUGGACAUCGAAAACCAUUGCUAGAUGAUAACUUCGAAUAGUAUAGAAAAUAGUUCCUAUGCUAUCGACUC